CGGGUUUUUUCAAAUUAGCUCAUAAUUAAUCGAGUUGCAUGCAAGCUGAUCCAAACAAUUAUACAUUGCAUCAAAAUACAUCUUGGAAAGAAAAAUGGAGUGAUGAAAUGAAAAGUACCUAAACAACGUCACUCCUUAUUGAGGACUUUGGGAACUUUGAUGUAAGGGUCCUCAAAGCUUGGCACAGCAGAAAUCAAUUCUUCUCUAUUCUCAAACUUCUCCGGUACGUCUCCACGCAAAUUAUCUCCUUCAGUAUUUGCUCUAAUCGCUGGCUCAAUACUCUGUAAAUCAACAGCUUGAAGUUGUCCAAACCAAUCUACAACUUGUCUAAUUUUGGGAG
RNAcentral lists this unclassified non-coding RNA (340 nucleotides) under Hevea brasiliensis (rubber tree). The record is from RNAcentral. Lineage: Eukaryota; Viridiplantae; Streptophyta; Magnoliopsida; Malpighiales; Euphorbiaceae.